Molecule: long non-coding RNA, 487 nt
Organism: Panicum hallii
Lineage: Eukaryota; Viridiplantae; Streptophyta; Magnoliopsida; Poales; Poaceae
Exons: 2
Source: RefSeq, a predicted model, not a curated record
CAGUAAGUUGGACUCUUUUGCUACGAUUACAUUCUAUAAUCUGAAGGCGCCAUGAAGCUGAGCUUAGUCAUCAUCGUUGGGUUGAUCUCCAUCAACAUUUGUGCUUGUAUGUCGAGGGAAACCCCAAAGGAUUAUACAUAUCACGAGACAAUGGAAAGUCGCAGUCUGAUGGACAGCACAGAUGGAAAAAAUGGGCCUUCCGGCAACGAUCACCAAUGCACACUGGUGGUCUACCCGAAUUGCCAAGGUGUGUCUCAGAGCACUCAGGAGACCACACAAAAAACUGGGGGAAAUUGAGAUCAGCAGUCUAUAUAUCAUGGUUAAGGACCGGUUCAUAAGUAAAAGAUGUACUAGAGUUUGGCUUGCUAUUUAAUUUUCUUUUUCAUGUGGAUUUUAGUCUUGUAAUAUAAUAACUGAGAUGAUAGCUACUUCUGUAAGGUUGAGAUUUUGGUGUUAUUAUAUGGAGAUGAUUAUGUAUAUGUGUUAA